Molecule: ribosomal RNA, 253 nt
Filed under: uncultured bacterium
Lineage: Bacteria
Description: partial 16S ribosomal RNA
Rfam family: Bacterial small subunit ribosomal RNA
Source: RNAcentral
GACGUAGGGCGCGAGCGUUGUCCGGAUUUAUUGGGCGUAAAGAGCUCGUAGGCGGCUUGUCGCGUCGACUGUGAAAACCCGCAGCUCAACUGCGGGCCUGCAGCCGAUACGGGCAGGCUAGAGUUCGGUAGGGGAGACUGGAAUUCCUGGUGUAGCGGUGAAAUGCGCAGAUAUCAGGAGGAACACCGGUGGCGAAAGCGACUCUCUGGACGGCAACUGACGCUGAGGCACGAAAGCGUGGGGAGCAAACAGG